RNAcentral lists this ribosomal RNA (301 nucleotides) under uncultured bacterium. RNAcentral's name for it is "partial 16S ribosomal RNA". It matches the Rfam family "Bacterial small subunit ribosomal RNA", at positions 509 to 807 of the family's 1533-position model. The record is from RNAcentral.
CAGUAGCCGCGGUAAUACGAAGGGUGCAAGCGUUACUCGGAAUUACUGGGCGUAAAGCGUGUGUAGGUGGUUGUUUAAGUCUGUCGUGAAAGCCCUGGGCUCAACCUGGGAAUUGCGAUGGAUACUGGGCGACUAGAGUGCGGUAGAGGAUAGUGGAAUUUCCGGUGUAGCAGUGAAAUGCGUAGAGAUCGGGAGGAACAUCAGUGGCGAAGGCGGCCAUCUGGGACAACACUGACGCUGAGGCACGAAAGCGUGGGGAGCAAACAGGAUUAGAUACACCGGUAGUCCCUGUCUCUUAUAC